This 223-nucleotide ribosomal RNA is filed under the name Flavobacterium sp. NKUCC04_CG. RNAcentral describes it as "Bacterial large subunit ribosomal RNA". It matches the Rfam family "Bacterial large subunit ribosomal RNA", at positions 203 to 425 of the family's 2925-position model. Lineage: Bacteria; Pseudomonadati; Bacteroidota; Flavobacteriia; Flavobacteriales; Flavobacteriaceae. The record is from Rfam by way of RNAcentral.
UAAGUAGGCGGAGGAGAAGAAAACAAAAGUGAUUCCGUAAGUAGUGGCGAGCGAACGCGGAACAGCCCAAACCAAUGUUGUUACGGCAAUAUUGGGGUUGUAGGACCACGACAUUUCUUGCGGACAGAAUUAGAACAAGUUGGAAAGCUUGACCAAAGAGGGUGACAGUCCCGUAUAAGUAAAGGAAGAUAAGAAUAGUGGUAUCCUGAGUAGGUCGGGGCAC